Molecule: ribosomal RNA, 562 nt
Filed under: Pseudocercospora pteridophytophila
Lineage: Eukaryota; Fungi; Ascomycota; Dothideomycetes; Mycosphaerellales; Mycosphaerellaceae
Description: eukaryotic LSU rRNA
Rfam family: 5.8S ribosomal RNA (bases 214-367)
Source: RNAcentral
UGGUCAUUUAGAGGAAGUAAAAGUCGUAACAAGGUCUCCGUAGGUGAACCUGCGGAGGGAUCAUUACUGAGUGAGGGCUCACGCCCGACCUCCAACCCUUUGUGAACACAUCUUGUUGCUUCGGGGGCGACCCUGCCGGCACUACGUCGCCGGGCGCCCCCGAAGGUCUCCAAACACUGCAUCUUUGCGUCGGAGUUUAAACAAAUUAAACAAAACUUUCAACAACGGAUCUCUUGGUUCUGGCAUCGAUGAAGAACGCAGCGAAAUGCGAUAAGUAAUGUGAAUUGCAGAAUUCAGUGAAUCAUCGAAUCUUUGAACGCACAUUGCGCCCUUUGGUAUUCCGAAGGGCAUGCCUGUUCGAGCGUCAUUUCACCACUCAAGCCUGGCUUGGUAUUGGGCGUCGCGGCUUCGCGCGCCUUAAAGUCUCCGGCUGAGCCAUUCGUCUCUAAGCGUUGUGGAUUUUCUAAUUCGCUUCGGAGUGCGGGUGGCCGCGGCCGUUAAAUCUUUCUCAAGGUUGACCUCGGAUCAGGUAGGGAUACCCGCUGAACUUAAGCAUAUCAAU